GUUAGGGGAUGUGAUGCUUCGAUACUGCUAAGUUCGCCAACUAACAACGCUGAGAAGGAUCACCCGGAUAAUCUUUCGCUUGCCGGCGAUGGUUUUGACACGGUCAUCAAGGCAAAGGCUGCCGUUGAUAGUGUUCCUCAAUGCAGGAACAAAGUUUCAUGUGCUGAUAUACUAUCCCUUGCUACAAGGGAAGUUGUAGCAUUGGCAGGAGGACCAUUUUAUGAAGUGGAACUGGGGAGACGUGAUGGGAGGAUAUCAACCAAGGCUAGUGUUCAACGCAGGCUGCCAAGUCCUGACUUCAAUUUAGACCAGCUCAAUUCCUUGUUUGCUUCGCUUGGUCUUAACCAAAUUGACGUCAUUGCUUUAUCAGGCGCACACACACUUGGGUUUUCUCACUGUAGCCGCUUCUCCAAAAGAAUCUACAACUUCAGUCCCAGAAACAAGAUUGACCCAACACUCAAUCUUCAAUAUGCACUUCAGCUAAGGCAAAUGUGCCCAAUAAAUGUAGACCCAAGAAUUGCAAUUAACAUGGACCCAACCACACCUCAGAAAUUUGACAAUGCCUACUAUGGAAACCUUGUGCAAGGAAAAGGGUUGUUCACUGCGGACCAGGUUCUGUUUACUGAUCCAAGAUCAAGAGCCACUGUCACCCAGUUUGCAUCAAAUAAUGCAGCUUUUCAGAAUGCUUUUGUGGCUGCCAUGACGAAGCUUGGCAGAGUUGGGGUCUUGACAGGAAAUCAAGGUGAAAUCAGG
This 753-nucleotide unclassified non-coding RNA is filed under the name Hevea brasiliensis (rubber tree). Lineage: Eukaryota; Viridiplantae; Streptophyta; Magnoliopsida; Malpighiales; Euphorbiaceae. The record is from RNAcentral.